GCCUUGGUGGCGGAAUUGGUAGACGCGCUAGAUUCAAAAUCUAGUGAGGGCAACUUCAUGGGAGUUCGAGUCUCCCCCGAGGCACCA
This 87-nucleotide transfer RNA is filed under the name Bdellovibrionales bacterium. RNAcentral's name for it is "tRNA-Leu". It matches the Rfam family "tRNA". From Rfam's summary of the family: Transfer RNA (tRNA) molecules are approximately 80 nucleotides in length. Their secondary structure includes four short double-helical elements and three loops (D, anti-codon, and T loops). Lineage: Bacteria; Pseudomonadati; Bdellovibrionota; Bdellovibrionia; Bdellovibrionales. The record is from RNAcentral.